AUUGAAACAUCGGUUCCUGUAUGAUCACCGAAGUUAAGCAACCUUAAGCCUGGUCAGUAGCUCAAUUGGUGACCGCUUUGCAAUACCAGGUGCUGCAAG
Non-coding RNA from Acanthosepion pharaonis, 99 nucleotides. The record is from the annotation of a GenBank genome assembly. NCBI's taxonomy places the organism in Eukaryota, Metazoa, Mollusca, Cephalopoda, Sepiida, Sepiidae.